CCUACGGGAGGCAGCAGUGGGGAAUAUUGGACAAUGGGGGCAACCCUGAUCCAGCCAUGCCGCGUGUGUGAAGAAGGCCCUCGGGUUGUAAAGCACUUUCAGUGAGGAAGAACGCCUGGUGGUUAAUACCCAUCAGGAAAGACAUCACUCACAGAAGAAGCACCGGCUGAACUCCGUGCCAGCAGCCGCGGUAAUACGGAGGGUGCGAGCGUUAAUCGGAAUUACUGGGCGUAAAGCGCGCGUAGGUGGCUUGAUAAGCCGGUUGUGAAAGCCCCGGGCUCAACCUGGGAACGGCAUCCGGAACUGUCAAGCUAGAGUGCAGGAGAGGAAGGUAGAAUUCCCGGUGUAGCGGUGAAAUGCGUAGAGAUCGGGAGGAAUACCAGUGGCGAAGGCGGCCUUCUGGACUGACACUGACACUGAGGUGCGAAAGCGUGGGUAGCAAACAGGAUUAGAUACCCUGGUAGUC
RNAcentral lists this ribosomal RNA (466 nucleotides) under Vreelandella stevensii. RNAcentral's name for it is "partial 16S ribosomal RNA". It matches the Rfam family "Bacterial small subunit ribosomal RNA", at positions 338 to 795 of the family's 1533-position model. The record is from RNAcentral. Lineage: Bacteria; Pseudomonadati; Pseudomonadota; Gammaproteobacteria; Oceanospirillales; Halomonadaceae.